RNAcentral lists this non-coding RNA (23 nucleotides) under Cricetulus griseus (Chinese hamster). The record is from RNAcentral. Lineage: Eukaryota; Metazoa; Chordata; Mammalia; Rodentia; Cricetidae.
UUUGUACAGACUUUGAAAAAUGU